AGCGCAAAUGUUUGAGUUGAAAGAGCAUAUCUUUAUCGUGUCAGUCAAUAACUAUCGACUCACUAUUGAACUUUUUUCUCUUCAGAAGUUCAUAUCCUUGUUUGUUGUUUAUCAGGUUUUCAGGAAUUCGGGCCUUACAACAGAAAAAAUCAAACUUUUAGCAUGCUAACACUCAACCUUUUAGAAAUACUAGCAAAUAUGCUUGUGUUGUAAUGGGAGAAAAGAAAUCCUAGCAUGCUCAAGCCCAAUAACACAACGCCUCCACCUUGCUGGCAACCUUGCAUUUGUAUGAGCACAAGCAGAGGAAAAAAAAGAUGUGAUUUGGUUAUACAUGAGCAAAGUGUAAUUAAUUAAUCAAUGGUCCAAGGAAAUCACAUCCGGACAUGUAAAGCCAUGCAAACAAUCACUUGCGCUUGCGUGCGUAAGCAAUCCCUGCUAGAAGUAAAGGUUUCACUGUCUCAACACUCAAGUCAGUAAAUAAAAAAUCAUCUUUGGAAAAAGUUACCGGACGGCCAUACACAAAAAGAGAAAAUAAACAAUGUAUAUUUGGACUUAGAAAGGGUAAAAUCGUUACAUUCUGAGUGUCAAUAUCUUAAUAGAUGAUAGAAGCCUUAGAUGCGAUGUUGUCUGGAUUGGCUAGAGAUUAUAGAGGAUUGGUCUCCCAAAAAAAAAACUUCUUUGUAAUACACAUUAUGUUCCAUAAAAAAAUGCAUACUUAUUCAAACUCAUGUCUAAAGUUCUAAAUCUCGAGGUAUAAUUUGUUAAGCCAGGCUAAGCUAAGCUAUUUCUAUCCAUGUACAGCUAUAGUCCACUACAACCUCAUUUAACUCUGCUACUGGCUUCUUGAGAAGCCAUCCGCUAAAACAUUGCUCAAUUACAAUUGGAAAUCUUCUUUCUUAGAGUCAAAACAAUAAGUUUGCUUAAAUAUAUAUAAUAAAAGUUACUAAUACUCAUAUGAUGCCCAAUAAGUAUCAUCGAAUCAAUCAUAAAAUAUUAAAGCAUAUGUUUAUAAUAAGUCUAUUUGAAAAUAUAUAUUGGUACUAUGUGUUAGAUUUAUAUAUUGUAUUUUCUCUUUUUGGAGGUUCUCCUUGCAUAUGUACACACCAUAUAUAUUUGCCCCUUUGGGCCUAGAAUAGAGGCUUGGUUGGCCAUGUUAGAAUGAAUGGCCAACCAAGCUUCUAUUCUAGGCCCAAAGGGGCAAAUAUACAUGGUGUAUACAUAUGCAAGGAGAAGCUAUGUUAGAAUGAAUGGUCAACCAAGCCUCAAGCCUCUAUUCUAGACUCAAAGGGGCAAAUAUACAUAAUGUGUACAUAUAGAAGAAGAACCUCCAAGAAAGAGAAAAUACACAUAACACAUACUCCCUCCGUCCUUGAAAGCUGUAAUUUUUAGUGUUGUCCUAAGUCAAACAUUUACAAUUUUGACCAAAUUUAUAGAAAAAAUACUAAGAUUUAUAGUACCAAAUUAAUAUUAUAGAAUAUAUUUUCAUAAGAUACUUAUUUUAUGUCAUAGAUAUUAAUAAUCUUUUCUAUAAAGUUGAUCAAAGUUAGAAAAGUUUGACUGGCACGGAUUGAGUUGAAGCUUUCGGGGACAGAGGGAGUAUAUACAUAACACUAUGAAGCGAUAUUUCCUUUAUUUUUUUUCUUUUUAGAUGGAGGGAGUAUUUUUCAGAACUCUAAAAUGCGUGGGGACUUGGGGUGGUCAGACCCUUUCCAUUCCUGGCAAGUACUGGGCACUUCUGAGUUUUGAGGCUCCAUUUGGACAUAUCCAUGACUUCAUAUGGAAAUAGGAUGGACGCGGCAGCAAAAGACCGACAGAACCUUGCCAUGUAUAACUAUGCCAAGAACGAGUUCAAUGUUUUCCCCUUUGUACGUAACGUACCUGGAGCUCGGUGGUGACGGGGUACUCGUCCAUGUCGACGUAGUUCUUGUUGACGGAGUCCAUGAUGAGCUUGUCGCACUCGGGCUCCAUCCACG
This 1973-nucleotide long non-coding RNA is filed under the name Sorghum bicolor (sorghum). RNAcentral's name for it is "long non-coding RNA (SBIC_LNC013267)". The record is from RNAcentral. Lineage: Eukaryota; Viridiplantae; Streptophyta; Magnoliopsida; Poales; Poaceae.